RNAcentral lists this ribosomal RNA (816 nucleotides) under uncultured bacterium. Its description in RNAcentral is "bacterial SSU rRNA". It matches the Rfam family "Bacterial small subunit ribosomal RNA", at positions 53 to 882 of the family's 1533-position model. The record is from RNAcentral.
ACAUGCAAGUCGAACGAGCGAGAGAGAGCUUGCUUUCUCGAGCGAGUGGCGAACGGGUGAGUAACGCGUGAGGAACCUGCCUCAAAGAGGGGGACAACAGUUGGAAACGACUGCUAAUACCGCAUAAGCCCACGGGUCGGCAUCGACCAGAGGGAAAAGGAGCAAUCCGCUUUGAGAUGGCCUCGCGUCCGAUUAGCUAGUUGGUGAGGUAACGGCCCACCAAGGCGACGAUCGGUAGCCGGACUGAGAGGUUGAACGGCCACAUUGGGACUGAGACACGGCCCAGACUCCUACGGGAGGCAGCAGUGGGGAAUAUUGCACAAUGGGGGAAACCCUGAUGCAGCGACGCCGCGUGGAGGAAGAAGGUCUUCGGAUUGUAAACUCCUGUUGUUGAGGAAGAUAAUGACGGUACUCAACAAGGAAGUGACGGCUAACUACGUGCCAGCAGCCGCGGUAAAACGUAGGUCACAAGCGUUGUCCGGAAUUACUGGGUGUAAAGGGAGCGCAGGCGGGAAGACAAGUUGGAAGUGAAAUCCAUGGGCUCAACCCAUGAACUGCUUUCAAAACUGUUUUUCUUGAGUAGUGCAGAGGUAGGCGGAAUUCCCGGUGUAGCGGUGGAAUGCGUAGAUAUCGGGAGGAACACCAGUGGCGAAGGCGGCCUACUGGGCACCAACUGACGCUGAGGCUCGAAAGUGUGGGUAGCAAACAGGAUUAGAUACCCUGGUAGUCCACACCGUAAACGAUGAUUACUAGGUGUUGGAGGAUUGACCCCUUCAGUGCCGCAGUUAACACAAUAAGUAAUCCACCUGGGGAGUA